CCGGCCUGCGGCGGAAUGUUGCGUAAAGGGAAAGGUCGUAUUCAAACCCUUCAGCCACGCGAGCGCUAAGUUAGCCACGAAUUGACUUGCCCGACUAACGGAGGGUAUGACUCCACGGAGGGUGUAAGACCCGUGUGGGCGCGUGUUAAAGCUGAAUGGGGAAGGCCUCUGUUCCCUGAGAGUCGCGUUGCUUUGGCAUGCAGCGCUAAGCAGGUCGUAAACUCGAUCUAAGGCUAAAUAUAUCCACAGGACCGAUAGAGAACAAGUACCGUGAGGGAAAGUUGAAAAGCACUCUGAAGAGAGAGUCAAAAGACCGUGAAACCGCUCAGAGUAUAAGCCCAUGGAGUUCGGAAGGCAUACCGCCGCUGAGAAUUGGCGACAUGAGAGAAAGGUCCGUCAGGUAGGGGCAUUGAGUUGAUAUCCCAUUGACGUGCGGGGGAGAGCUGCGGGGCGUGAGACUACGGUGUAGCGUCCUCCUCUUCCUUAUUUGGCACGGACGGUCAAGGCUUCAUGUCGUAGGCGGGAACUGCCCACCACGGCUCGUUGUGAGGUCACCCACAGGCUCGACUGUCGAUCGCGUGUUCUCCUCGCCCACUCGAGUGUCGUUCGCGAACUCCCAUUGUUUUUGGGGGCUAGCGGGGACACGCGCGGCGAGGCCCUCUCAAAACGACCGGACGGCGACUGAGAUAAACCUGGUACGAUCCUCGUGCGACGAGCCGCUUUCUGGCUAGAAUGGCACCCAAGCCUCGUCUCAUGUGCCGAGCGAGGAAAUUGAGGUCGGUCUGUGUCCACUGUCGCGCUCUCUUCGUUGGGGGCGCGGCAAGGUCCUCUUGGCCGGGUGCACUCCUGAGUGGUGUUAAGUCCGAUACCAUCGGUCACGUCUCGAAACACGGGCCAAGGAGUAUAGCAUGUGUGCAAGUCUAAGGGUCUCACAAAACCCGGAGGCGAAAGUGAAAGCAAGGUUGUGGCGAGUGAGCCUGUCCCUCCUGUAGGGUUGGCAAAACCCCGUCAGCCGUAGCGUCUUUUUUGGCGCUUGGCUUGAGCACGAGCUGAUACUACUAUUACGGAUAAGUCCUGAGGUAGUCGCAAGCUCCGGGCUCGCGUACAGCACUGGUCGCUUGCGGCUGUGUUGCGAGCACCGUGAAGCAUGCAUGCUAUGACCCGAAAGAUAGUGAACUAUGCCUGGCGAGGGCGAAGCCCCAGGAAACUGGGGUGGAGGCCCGUAGC
RNAcentral lists this ribosomal RNA (1227 nucleotides) under Crangonyx chlebnikovi. RNAcentral's name for it is "partial 28S ribosomal RNA". It matches the Rfam family "Eukaryotic large subunit ribosomal RNA", at positions 128 to 881 of the family's 3401-position model. The record is from RNAcentral. Lineage: Eukaryota; Metazoa; Arthropoda; Malacostraca; Amphipoda; Crangonyctidae.